Long non-coding RNA from Pistacia vera, 487 nucleotides. RefSeq lists it as uncharacterized. Lineage: Eukaryota; Viridiplantae; Streptophyta; Magnoliopsida; Sapindales; Anacardiaceae. The record is from RefSeq and is a predicted model, not a curated record. The transcript is spliced from 3 exons.
UGCCAAGAAGAGAAUGAGAGCAAUGAAAAAUAGAGAAAAAAACUUCUACAAGUGUUACACCCCAGGCAUCGCCUUCUGAAUCAUCAAGGGCAAGUGGAGAUACUGGAGAGGUCAAUUUGUCCAAGCCUAGUCAUGUUAAGGAUGAAGAAACAGGAUCACAAUUUGAUGAAGAUAACCUCAAUUGUGGGACAGGAUUGAUAAAGAAGUUCAAGAACAGGAAUCCCAAUUUGUUGGACCUUCUCAGCCACGAGUAAUGCUAGAAUGUAGUGUAUGUUUUUUGUUCCACCCAAUAGGUGUGCGCGAUUGAUUUCUUCAUUGGUGACUUGUUAUAUCCAAUGAACAAAUCAACUGCUUUUGAUGGUUUAAUAUCAUUUUAUGUUUCUGGGUUUUUAUUACUGUUUCUGUUGUUUGUUUGGGACACCAUUAAAAAUGUGAUUGUUUGAAUGUUCUUGUGAUACCUUGGAAAACAAUAAUCAGGUUUUUAUUA